RNAcentral lists this non-coding RNA (262 nucleotides) under Clostridium sp. RNAcentral describes it as "T-box sequence". It matches the Rfam family "T-box leader". From Rfam's summary of the family: Uncharged tRNA acts as the effector for transcription antitermination of genes in the T-box leader family. T-boxes are found upstream of many aminoacyl-tRNA synthetase genes and some amino acid biosynthetic genes usually in Gram-positive bacteria. The record is from RNAcentral. Lineage: Bacteria; Bacillati; Bacillota; Clostridia; Eubacteriales; Clostridiaceae.
AAAAAAAUGGUGAUAAGGAAUAGUAUAUAAGAGUUAACUUUUAAGAGAGCUAGAGUUUGGUGCGAUCUAGUAAGUGAGCCUUAUGGAAGCAGCCUUUGAAUUUUAUAGCUGAGAAAUAAAAGUUAUUAUAUGUAACUUUUAAUUAGGCUAUAACGUAAUCCUCACGUUAUAGAGGUGGAGUAUUAAUUGUACUCUAUCUGAGUGAACAAUAUUUAUAUUGUUUAUUAGGGUGGUACCGCGAAGCAGUUCCUUCGUCCCUUGU